UACGAGGGGUCCUAGCGUUGUUCGGAAUCAUUGGGCGUAAAGCGGGUGUAGGCGGAGUUAUAAGUCAGAUGUGAAAGCCCUGGGCUCAACCCAGGAAGUGCAUUUGAAACUGUGGAUCUUGAGUGUGGUAGAGGCUAGUGGAAUUCCUGGUGUAGCGGUGAAAUGCGUAGAUAUCAGGAGGAACAUCGGUGGCGAAGGCGGCUAGCUGGACCAACACUGUCGCUCAGACCCGAAAGCGUGGGGAGCAAGCAGG
RNAcentral lists this unclassified non-coding RNA (253 nucleotides) under uncultured Pseudobdellovibrionaceae bacterium. RNAcentral's name for it is "uncultured Bdellovibrionaceae bacterium contains 16S-23S intergenic spacer region". It matches the Rfam family "Bacterial small subunit ribosomal RNA", at positions 524 to 776 of the family's 1533-position model. The record is from RNAcentral. Lineage: Bacteria; Pseudomonadati; Bdellovibrionota; Bdellovibrionia; Bdellovibrionales; Pseudobdellovibrionaceae.